GUGUGUGGCUUGACUGUGUGUGGCUUGAUGGUGAAUUUGUGUGUGGCUUGACUGUGUGUGUGUGACUCUGUGAAUAUUGCAUUUGCUUGAUGGUGUGGCUGGUAUUCUUUGUUGAAUGAUUGGUUGUAUUACUUGUGUUUUAUAUUGUUGUGGCACGAUUGAUUGUUGUUUGUUGAAUGCGAACUCGUAUCUUGACGAAUAAUCAUGUAUGCUAACUUGGUAUUGGUAGUUCCUGAUCACCUAUUACUUGUUUAGUGUAGACUUACUAUUCUUUUUUCUGAACUUUUUUGUGAUUAUUUCUUCACAUUGCACUGCUCGAUCCAUAUCGACAUGCCCACGCUGUCUGAUGACGAUAAAGAUGUAAGGAACUCCUCCCAAGAAUCUCUCUUGCUCUUCGUGUUAACUUGACGACUAGGCUUUACAUGUUAAAAAUAUUUUUUUUUUCGUGAAACUGGAGCUCCUUGCUGUAACCCAUUAUAUGACUUUAUUUAUGAGCAUGCACCACUUUCAGGUUAUGAGAAAAAUAGGGUGCCCCAACCAAGAUUGACUUCCUCUCUCUUUCUUAUACAAGGCAUGCAGAAGAUGUGUGGCAAGCAUGGGAGUUCCUCUCAAAGUUAGGUGAUCUUAGCCAAACUCUGAUUUUUGCCAAAAUUGAGAAUGUGGAGGGCUUGAACCAUUUUGAUGAGAUCCUGGAAGAAGUAGAUGGUAUAAUUCUGUCAAGAGGAAACCUUGGAAUUGAUCUUCCACCUGAAAAGGUUGGUUAUCUCAACCUUUGCAAUGCAUUAUCUCUUAACGUGUUGUCCUAGUAGUGAAAAAAUUAGAGAGAAUCACCCCAAUGCAUUGUUUCUUAAGGGUUGUAUCUAAAUGAUGUUGCGUUGUGGAGAAAAUUAAAGAGUAGGAAAACAGGGAGUGCAAGAAAACGAGCUAAGAGCCGUACCUAUAUGAACAUACAGCUCCACUCUCGUUCUUUCUUAAUUAUUACAGUGCCGCAUCAGCAUUUUGACUAUGAUAACGUGCUAAGAGAAGCACUAUGAGUGCCCUUGGCAGUUGUGAAGGCAUUUUGCUUGAUUAACAUGUAUU
Triticum aestivum (bread wheat) is the source of this 1080-nucleotide long non-coding RNA. RefSeq lists it as uncharacterized. The transcript has 3 exons. Lineage: Eukaryota; Viridiplantae; Streptophyta; Magnoliopsida; Poales; Poaceae. The record is from RefSeq and is a predicted model, not a curated record.